Molecule: ribosomal RNA, 497 nt
Filed under: uncultured bacterium
Lineage: Bacteria
Description: partial 16S ribosomal RNA
Rfam family: Bacterial small subunit ribosomal RNA
Source: RNAcentral
GAUGAACGCUGGCGGCGUGCCUAAUACAUGCCAGUCGAGCGAACGGACGAGAAGCUUGCUUCUCUGAUGUUAGCGGCGGACGGGUGAGUAACACGUGGAUAACCUACCUAUAAGACUGGGAUAACUUCGGGAAACCGGAGCUAAUACCGGAUAAUAUUUUGAACCGCAUGGUUCAAAAGUGAAAGACGGUCUUGCUGUCACUUAUAGAUGGAUCCGCGCUGCAUUAGCUAGUUGGUAAGGUAACGACUUACCAAGGCAACGAUGCAUAGCCGACCUGAGAGGGUGAUCGGCCACACUGGAACUGAGACACGGUCCAGACUCCUACGGGAGGCAGCAGUAGGGAAUCUUCCGCAAUGGGCGAAAGCCUGACGGAGCAACGCCGCGUGAGUGAUGAAGGUCUUCGGAUCGUAAAACUCUGUUAUUAGGGAAGAACAUAUGUGUAAGUAUCUGUGCACAUCUUGACAGUACCUAAUCAGAAAGCCACGGCUAACUACGUG